RNAcentral lists this ribosomal RNA (384 nucleotides) under Leptochela robusta. Its description in RNAcentral is "partial 12S ribosomal RNA". Lineage: Eukaryota; Metazoa; Arthropoda; Malacostraca; Decapoda; Pasiphaeidae. The record is from RNAcentral.
UAGAUACCCUUUUAUUCUAAUAGAAAUUUUUAAACUUGAGUAGUAAAAAGUUAUGAUCUUUAAACUUAAAGGAUUUGGCGGUAUUUUAGUCUAGUUAGAGGAGCCUGUUCUAUAAACGAUAAACCACGAAAAAUCUUACUUUCUUUUGUUAAUUACAGUUUGUAUACCGUCAUUAUUAGGUAAUUUUAAUAAAUAUUUACUAUAAUAUAAAGUUUUAAUAUAUUAGAUCAAGGUGCAGCUAAUAGGAAAGUAAGUAAAUGGGCUACAAUUUAUUUGGUAAAAAUGGAUAUUUAUUUGAAAGGAUAGGUUGAAGGUGGAUUUAAUAGUAAUUUUAUAAAUAAUAUGGUAAGAUGAUAAUAGCUCUAGAAUAUGUACACAUCGCCC